RNAcentral lists this transfer RNA (73 nucleotides) under Strongylocentrotus purpuratus (purple sea urchin). RNAcentral's name for it is "tRNA-Val (TAC) (tRNA-Val-TAC-4-1)". It matches the Rfam family "tRNA". Rfam says of the family: Transfer RNA (tRNA) molecules are approximately 80 nucleotides in length. Their secondary structure includes four short double-helical elements and three loops (D, anti-codon, and T loops). Lineage: Eukaryota; Metazoa; Echinodermata; Echinoidea; Camarodonta; Strongylocentrotidae. The record is from Rfam by way of RNAcentral.
GUCUUUGUAGUGUAGUGGUUAUCACGUCUGCUUUACACGCAGAAGGUCCCCAGUUCGAGCCUGGGCGAAGACU